RNAcentral lists this ribosomal RNA (440 nucleotides) under uncultured bacterium. Its description in RNAcentral is "partial 16S ribosomal RNA". It matches the Rfam family "Bacterial small subunit ribosomal RNA", at positions 338 to 795 of the family's 1533-position model. The record is from RNAcentral.
CCUACGGGAGGCAGCAGUAGGGAAUAUUGCUCAAUGGGGGAAACCCUGAAGCAGCAACGCCGCGUGGAGGAUGAAGGUUUUCGGAUUGUAAACUCCUUUUGUUAGAGAAGAUAAUGACGGUAUCUAACGAAUAAGCACCGGCUAACUCCGUGCCAGCAGCCGCGGUAAUACGGAGGGUGCAAGCGUUACUCGGAAUCACUGGGCGUAAGGAGCGCGUAGGCGGGAUAGCAAGUCAGAUGUGAAAUCCUAUGGCUUAACCAGAGAACUGCAUUUGAAACUGUUAUGCUAGAGUAUGGGAGAGGGAGGUGGAAUUCUUGGUGUAGGGGUAAAAUCCGUAGAGAUCAAGAGGAAUACUCAUUGCGAAGGCGACCUGCUAGAACAUAACUGACGCUGAUGCGCGAAAGCGUGGGGAGCAAACAGGAUUAGAUACCCGUGUAGUC